UAGCAUAUCAUAAGCGGAGGAAAAGAAACCAACAGGGAUUGCCCUAGUAACGGCGAGUGAAGCGGCAAUAGCUCAAAUUUGAAAUCUGGCUUCCUUGGAAGUCCGAGUUGUAAUUUGCAGAGGGCGCUUUGGCGUCGGUAGCGGUCUAAGUUCCUUGGAACAGGACGUCACAGAGGGUGAGAAUCCCGUACGUGGUCGACUACCUUCGCCGUGUAAAGCCCCUUCGACGAGUCGAGUUGUUUGGGAAUGCAGCUCUAAAUGGGAGGUAAAUUUCUUCUAAAGCUAAAUACUGGCCAGAGACCGAUAGCGCACAAGUAGAGUGAUCGAAAGAUGAAAAGCACUUUGGAAAGAGAGUCAAACAGCACGUGAAAUUGUUGAAAGGGAAGCGCUUGCCGCCAGACGUGCCCGUGGUGGUUCUCCUCCGCGGGCAGGCCAGCAUCAGUUUGGGCGAUCGGAUAAAGGCCUCUGUCAUGUAUCUCCCUUCGGGGUGACCUUAUAGGGGAGGCGUAAUGCGAUCAGCCUGGACUGAGGUCCGCGCAUCUGCUAGGAUGCUGGCGUAAUGGCUGUAAGCGGCCCGUCUUGAAACACGGACCAAGGAGUCUAACAUCUAUGUGCGAGUGUUUGGGUGUCAAGCCCGAGCGCGUAAUGAAAGUGAACGGAGGUGGGAACCCUUUGGGUGCACCAUCGACCGAUCCUGAAGUCUUCGGAUGGAUUUGAGUAAGAGCAUGGCUGUUGGGACCCGAAAGAUGGUGAACUAUGCUUGAAUAGGGUGAAGCCAGAGGAAACUCUGGUGGAGGCUCGCAGCGGUUCUGACGUGCAAAUCGAUCGUCAAAUUUGGGCAUAGGGGCGAAAGACUAAUCGAACUAUCUAGUAGCUGGUUCCUGCCGA
This 888-nucleotide ribosomal RNA is filed under the name Dictyosporium strelitziae. Its description in RNAcentral is "LSU rRNA". It matches the Rfam family "Eukaryotic large subunit ribosomal RNA", at positions 36 to 964 of the family's 3401-position model. The record is from RNAcentral. Lineage: Eukaryota; Fungi; Ascomycota; Dothideomycetes; Pleosporales; Dictyosporiaceae.